GUUCAGGGGUAAACCUGAGAAAUCCGAAAGAUCGAAUGGGGACAUUCAGCGCGUCUCGUCUGGCGGCGAGCUCAGGUUGCGAGACGAUCGGGCGUUCGCGCCCUCGAUCGCUCCUAUCGAAGCCGUUUAACCGUUGGCGAACGCGUGCACUUCUCCCCUAGUAGGACGUCGCGACCCGUUGGGUGCCGGUCUAAGGUGCGCGGUGGAGCCCGUCGGGGUACAUUUUACAUGUAUCCUUGCGGACCCGCGGUAUCCCGACCGGCCCGCUCGACGGUAGAACGAUGGCGUAUGGACGCGCGUUUGUUCGCGCCCCGGCCCGUUGCAAGCGCGACCGUUGUUUAACCCGGAUAUCGGACCUGUGUGCCGGUACCGGGCGCGGGCGGCUGUUGGCGACGGUGUCCUUGGGCGGUCCAUGAUACACGCCCGUCGGCGACGCUCUAGCUUUGGAUACUUUCAGGACCCGUCUUGAAACACGGACCAAGGAGUCUAGCAUGUGCGCGAGUCAUUGAGAUAUAUAAACUAAACUUAAAGGCACAAUGAAAGUGAAGGCCGCCUUGCGCGUGCCUAGGGAAGACCGGUGUUUCGGCAUAAAAGCCGCGCCGUGCACUCCCGGGGCGUCUCGCACUCAUCGCGAGUUGAGGCGCACCCAGAGCGUACACGCUGGGACCCGA
RNAcentral lists this ribosomal RNA (671 nucleotides) under Ochthephilum extraneum. Its description in RNAcentral is "partial large subunit ribosomal RNA". It matches the Rfam family "Eukaryotic large subunit ribosomal RNA", at positions 407 to 819 of the family's 3401-position model. The record is from RNAcentral. Lineage: Eukaryota; Metazoa; Arthropoda; Insecta; Coleoptera; Staphylinidae.